RNAcentral lists this ribosomal RNA (305 nucleotides) under uncultured bacterium. RNAcentral describes it as "bacterial SSU rRNA". It matches the Rfam family "Bacterial small subunit ribosomal RNA", at positions 337 to 659 of the family's 1533-position model. The record is from RNAcentral.
UCCUACGGGGGGCAGCAGUGGGGAAUAUUGCACAAUGGGGGAAACCCUGAUGCAGCGACGCCGCGUGAGUGAAGAAGUAAUUCGUUAUGUAAAGCUCUAUCAGCAGGGAAGAAAAUGACGGUACCUGAGUAAGAAGCCCCGGCUAACUACGUGCCAGCAGCCGCGGUAAUACGUAGGGGGCAAGCGUUGUCCGGAUUUACUGGGUGUAAAGGGCGUGCAGCCGGGCUGACAAGUCAGAUGUGAAAUCCCGCGGCUCAACCGCGGAACUGCAUUUGAAACUGUCAGUCUUGAGUACCGGAGAGGUC